This 500-nucleotide ribosomal RNA is filed under the name uncultured bacterium. RNAcentral's name for it is "partial 16S ribosomal RNA". It matches the Rfam family "Bacterial small subunit ribosomal RNA", at positions 30 to 523 of the family's 1533-position model. The record is from RNAcentral.
AUUGAACGCUGGCGGCAUGCCUUACACAUGCAAGUCGAACGGCAGCACGGACUUCGGUCUGGUGGCGAGUGGCGAACGGGUGAGUAAUGUAUCGGAACGUACCUUUCAGUGGGGGAUAACGUAGCGAAAGUUACGCUAAUACCGCAUAUUCUGUGAGCAGGAAAGCAGGGGAUCGCAAGACCUUGCGCUGAUUGAGCGGCCGAUAUCAGAUUAGCUAGUUGGUGGGGUAAAGGCCUAUCAGGGCUACGAUCUGUAGCGGGUCUGAGAGGAUGGUCCGCCACACUGGAACUGAGACACGGUCCAGACUCCUACGGGAGGCAGCAGUGGGGAAUUUUGGACAAUGGGGGCAACCCUGAUCCAGCCAUGCCGCGUGAGUGAAGAAGGCCUUCGGGUUGUAAAGCUCUUUCGGCCGGGAAGAAAUCGCAUAGGCUAAUACCCUGUGUGGAUGACGGUACCGGAAUAAGAAGCACCGGCUAACUACGUGCCAGCCGCCGCAGUAA